CAGUGGCAACACCUUGGCAAAGUCAAGCAACUUCGAGGGUUCACGGCUGCAGGACGUUUCUCUAUGGAAAUAAAUGGACGAACGAGGAAAAUGAUGACCACUAACUUUUUGAUGGGAACGGGGAAAAUCAACCAUGUGUCAAUAUUCGACAUGAGAAGAAGACAGUAUCUGUGUACUAAUUUAAAGGGAGAUCUGUUUAAUUCCAGGGAGAGGUACAGAGAAGGAUGUAUUUACAAGCGUAUCUGGUUAGACCCAAAGAAGAACUGUUAUAUCCUCUACUCCUCCAGCAGUGGCCGGCUGCUUAUGAUUGGGGGGUAUGACAUCUGUACAGCUCACCACAAGUCACCUAAACCUUCCUCUGU
Molecule: long non-coding RNA, 362 nt
Organism: Lampris incognitus (smalleye Pacific opah)
Lineage: Eukaryota; Metazoa; Chordata; Actinopteri; Lampriformes; Lampridae
Exons: 3
Source: RefSeq, a predicted model, not a curated record